This is a small nuclear RNA of Nannospalax galili (Upper Galilee mountains blind mole rat), 160 nucleotides long. Its record names the gene U1. It matches the Rfam family "U1 spliceosomal RNA". Rfam says of the family: U1 is a small nuclear RNA (snRNA) component of the spliceosome (involved in pre-mRNA splicing). The record is from Ensembl. NCBI's taxonomy places the organism in Eukaryota, Metazoa, Chordata, Mammalia, Rodentia, Spalacidae.
AUACUUACCUGGCAGGGAAGAUACCAUGAUCAAAGAGAUGCCUUUUCCAGGGAGAGGCUCAUCCAUUGAACUUGGCAUGCACUGAUCCAAUUUCCCUAAAUGUGAGAAACUUGAAUAUGUAAUUUGUGAUAGUGGGAGAUCGUGGUUACACUCUCACCAA